AAGCACUAGUGAAGAAAUCGGAACAGAACUUUGCACAAAUACUAUAUUUAUAGUGUGGCAUCGCUCUUCUAAAAAUCGUCGAAAUCGGACCAUACAUUUUCAAGGCCCCAUAUAUCGAACAUGAGGACCUCAGGGGUUCUAGUUUUUUUUAUCGGAAAUAUAAGUAAGUCCCUCAGAUAUUUUGAUGAAUUUCGGAGGAAAUAUGUUUUUAUUGCCAUAUACAUUAUAUUAGAGUUUCCAACUUUCAAUGGACUUUGUACCAUAUACAUAUAUGCCGAAUAUGUGGGUCAAAUUGUGUGUUAUAUUAAGGAAAUUGAAUAAAUAAAUUGCGAGAGUUACACCCGAACUUAGCCCUUCCUUACUUGUUAUUCAUAAAUAGAGGGAGUGAAAUGUACAAAGACAGCAAGUAAAAUGUUUCACGAAAUUUUUUAAUUGAAAAUUAAGUGCCAUUUAAUUAUACUCUCGCAACAAAGUUGCUACAGAGAGUAUUAUAGUUUUGUUCACAUAACGGUUGUUUGUAACACCCAAAACUAAACGAGUUAGAUAUAGGUUUAUAUAUACCAAAGUGAUUAGGGUGAAGAGUUGAGUUCAAAUCCGAAUGUCUGUCUGUCUGUCCGUCCGUCCGUCCGUCUGUGCAAGCUGGCACACUUAUUUCUUGGCACCAUAGGAAGGUUGCUUUCGAAAAUGAGCAAAAAUCGGACCACUGCCACGCCCACAAAAUGACGAAAACCGAAAACACAUAAAGUAUCAUAACUAGCCAUAAAUAAAGCUAUGGAAAUAAAAUUUGGUAAGAAGGGGCAUAUUUGGAUUUAUUUUUUUAGGGGAAGUGGGCGUAGCCCCGUUCCCAAAAAGGUUUUUUGUAUAUAUCUCACAAACCAAUAGAGCUAUAUAAACCAAACUUUCUGCAGUCGUUUUUUUUAUCCACUUAUUAAUACAGUCCAAAAAUGAAAGAAAUCAGAUAAUAACCACACCCAGCUCCCAUACAAAGGUUAGGUUGAAAAUUACUAAAAGUGGGUUAACUCACUAACGAAACCAUGCUUCAGUAAAAUGUUGUGAAGAAUUGUACAUGCGUAAAUAAUCAUAGCUGCUUUUUCAUUGCUGUAAUGAAGAAUGCGGUGUUUUGAGAGGCAUCGGAAUCGAGACUUCAAUGCACCAAUGGCUCUCUCAAUGGUAUUGCGUGCUUUGGCGUGUAAUAUUAUGUUCCCACAGAAAAAUUGAAGUAAUUAGAUUAUAUUUAAACGCUUAACAAAACUACCCUGUUCUCACUGCCGUUGGAGAUUUACGAAUCAGCUGUUUUUGACAUUCAGGCAUAAACACCAAAUAUUUAUUAAAGGAAAAUAUUGUAAUGUCGUACUUUGUUAUAAAAAUUGUCUUUUUUUUUAUAAAUAUUCUCCACUCAAUGGAAAUAAUUGAGGAAUUGUUUGAUUUGAACCGCCUAGCAAUGAAACCUUUGUUGCAUGCACACAUAAUACUCAAAAUGGGUAGUCUACAUGGAGCAAAUUCAACAAGGUCUAUUUGGAUGAAGACUCGUGGCUAAAUGUUUUGGGAAGUCGAUUGCCAGGUGAAUUCAGAUGCAUUCUUUAAAAUCACUGUCUGCUCCAUUCUAAUUGAGUUCUGCCAUGAAGUCUGGCGAUGUUUGUGGCCAUUGUAUUUGAAGAAAUUCCCAAUGAACGAAUUUCAAGUGCGGGAGUAUAUAAAUGGUUUUGAGUCAUUGGGUUUCCCUCAAGUGUUAGGAGCUAUAGAUGGUUGUCAUAUAGAAGUUCGCCCAGCAGCAGAAGAUGCUGUUUACUACUACAAUUACAAAGUCUGGUAUUCCACAGUUCCUUUGGCUUUAGUAGAUGCAAGGUAAGUUUUUUCAUGAAGCUCUUUUUUUUAAUGUAUUUCUUUAAUGUUAUAGAUGACGCUUUAUAUACAUCAACGUUGGUAGUCCAGGCCGUUGUAAUGACUCUUCAAUAUUUGAGAGUUCAUCUUUAAAAAGCCAGUUGGCACAAUCUAGUUUAUUUAAAGACAUGAGUGGACAAAUUUCGUCAAUUAAUGUUCCAGUAGUUUUAUUGGGCGACUCUGCGUUCAAAUUAGAUGAACAUUUGAUGAAACCCUACCCUUUUUGUGUAAACCAACCUUUGGAUAAAAAAAAAUUUAACUAUGUUCUCUCGAAAUGUCGAAGAGUGGUGGAGAAUGCUUUCGGUCAUUUAAAGGCAAGGUUUAGACGCGUUGGCAAAGGCUUGGAUAACCACAUGGUCAACACGAGAGCUGUUAUCAAAGCGUGCUGCGUUUUGCAUAACCUUUUAAAUGAGGAAAGUGAUGAAAUUAAUGAAAAGUGGAUUGCAGCACAACAAAUCGAAAACGAAACUCGACAGUUGCCAGAAAACGUCUCUUACGUUUGUGGAUAUGUUAUCCCAAGAGCAGAGGAAAUAAGACAAG
This is a long non-coding RNA of Zeugodacus cucurbitae (melon fly), 2421 nucleotides long. RefSeq lists it as uncharacterized. The record is from RefSeq and is a predicted model, not a curated record. NCBI's taxonomy places the organism in Eukaryota, Metazoa, Arthropoda, Insecta, Diptera, Tephritidae. The transcript is spliced from 3 exons.